UCUUUGACAUGCUUUGCAUGGCAGGCUCCCCGCAUCUGUGUGCGGCCAACUGUCAUGGGGCUGUCUUUUCAGUGUCCCGUGGUUUAUCUUUUUUGCCCCUUCGGGGUGGCCCAGAUUCGGUUGCCUGUGCGGUUUUACCCUUGUUGGUUGCACAUUUUUGCCGUUGUUGUGUAUUCUGCUUGCUCUGUUGAUGCUAUGCAUCGAUGGGUGGCCGAGUUGCUGGCAAGCUCCAUGCGCUGCGACGCACUUUGUGCGUUGGAACUGCAAUUGGAUGUUUGCUGGGUCUCACGGAUAUCAGUCCCUACGUUGAGCGGCCUACGGGCUUCUAGCCUGCAGGCUCAUGGUGUAGCGCCUGCACGUGUCGUUGUUGCUGAUGUUCCAUCGACAUGCCGUGAUUUCCGCGUCAUGUUGAGGGAUCGCACUCGGUGCACGGCUAUGUGUAUGUGCGUACGCCUUCCCGACCGAAUGACGUGCGAUUGCUGGU
RNAcentral lists this unclassified non-coding RNA (484 nucleotides) under Cyperus waterloti. RNAcentral's name for it is "partial external transcribed spacer 1f". The record is from RNAcentral. Lineage: Eukaryota; Viridiplantae; Streptophyta; Magnoliopsida; Poales; Cyperaceae.